This 1003-nucleotide long non-coding RNA is filed under the name Equus asinus (donkey). RNAcentral describes it as "lncRNA (ENSEASG00005026365.1)". The record is from RNAcentral. Lineage: Eukaryota; Metazoa; Chordata; Mammalia; Perissodactyla; Equidae.
GGUUUGCAUAAUAAUUUGCCACCUUGCAUUAAUAACCUAAAUAGCUUUUUCCCCUAUCAAAUAAGAUCUUGUUAGGAAUGAGGGAAUUUACUAUUUGUCUUUGUUGCAGUUUCUUCAAGGUCAAUAGCUCACAAUGCUGAAGUGUAAAACCCUUAGCCUUGGUUCUCAAAGCAUACUCCCAGGACCUGCAGCAUCAGAAUCACCUGGAAACUUUUUAAAAUUUCAAAUUUCAGCCCCUACCACAAACCUAAUGAAUUAGAAAUGCUGUUUGUAGGUCCCAGCUAUCUGUGUCUGAACAAACCCCCAAGUGAUUCUGAAUUUCAAGAACUACUGCUCUAUAGGACCAGUUGCUUUAUUUCCAUUUCUAGAUGAUUAACAUUCAUAUGAUUCCCUUAAAUGCAUAGGACUGGUAAAAGAUAUACAACCUCCAUAACUUUUAUCUUAAUAAAUGCUUUGCACACAUAGUAAAUGAAUUAAUAAAUACAAACCUGACAUAAGGGGGAAGAUUAGUAUAACUUUCCCCACAAUUUACAACAUGCCUGCCUUCUUUACUAACACAACUAUUAACUAUUCAUUACAUGAAGGAGGGCACCCAAAAUGUGACACAGACAUUAACCUUCUAAAUUUUAGGCAAUUUACAGCAAGCAGUAAGGUCUCUAGAGGCCAGUUUGAUAUUGCUUUGAGAGCCACUUCUCAAUUUCUUACACAAAGAAUAUCCAGGCAUUGUUCUUUUCUCAUCUCAAAGCUUAUUCCCCCUGGGAAGAAUCCAUUUGAACCAUCCCUUCUAUAAUAAUUGACUAUUUAUAUGCAGCUAUUACCAGCGAACUUCACCCUCUUGAGGGCCACUGACCAUGCCUGGUCCCAAUUCUGAGAUACUUUUAUGAUGAAAUGUCACCAGGAGAUGAGAAUCUAACUAUGGAAUAACUCCAGGAUGGUUUUCUUAAGUCUUCUAUGGAAAAAUGUCAUCAGGUGCCACACAUGGGUCCACUUCAGUCCUGGGCUC